GAUGGGCUAAGAAAUGUACAAGGAAUCCCCAAUGGCUCACAACAACCUCAAUUUCCACAGCCUUAGGAAUGAAUCUCUGCAGUUUCCUCUACAAUAUUCUUGAUUGAUAAACCGAAGCUUCUUCCAAAGAUUAGGUCAAAGCGAGAGCAGGAGGAUUGCCUGGAGGGCAUCUUUGCCGGCGGGGACGUCUAGUCGUCUUCCCCCACCCUGUUAGGCUUCUAUCCUCUAGUCCCAUUUCAACAUUAUUAAGCUGCUGUAAUAGGGGAGUACAAGGCGGGCUUGCCAUUACAGCAGGAGGGGAACUAACCAGUGCACGCCUCCUCCCCCUCCCACAACCACUUCUACUAGAAUUCCUUCUCGUUAAUCCUGAAUGCCAGAGAUGGCCAGUUGCUCUCAUCAGCCCUCCAAAUGUCUGAAGAUCUUCUGUUACUUCAUGCCUUGACAAAGAAGCAAGGCCUGGAAGAAUGUCCCUUUGGAAGUCCCUCCGCGGCCUUCCUCUUCUUGAUUGGCCUUUUCGGGUUCGAGUUGGUACUGAAGUUGUUCCUGUUUCUUCCAGUUUCAGGUUUUCUGGAACCAAUGGCUUGGGCAUGUAAUCUUCCUCCUUGGUCUCUGUCAACUUCAAGGUCAUAGACUCAAAGUAAUCUUCCAAAUAUGACCCCUCUUUAUCUUGGCCAUUACCCUCAGCUUCCAAAACAACAAAUUUGCUCUCUAGAUCCUCUCCAAAAAAGGAAACUAUCUCCACAAACCAAUGAAGAGAAUCUUUCAUAGAAGCUUCUGAUGCAUUGUAAGUGGCAUCAUCCUGACGGUUAUGACCUGUUGAAGAGAUGGCGACUAUUACCUCUGCUGCUAUUCUGACAAAUUCAUCUGGUGCACUUUCCGCUUUGUGCUGUGAUAAUUGUGAUGAUGCUUCAUAAGCCUUUUCCAGGCAUUCUUCUCCAGGAACGAUAUCCUCUUCAGUCUCUGGAAAUACAGGGGCUUCUAAAUCUAUUCCUGAAAUAAUCUUCACAUUAAAGCCUGGGACAGAAGGCAUCAAAGAAGAUUCAUCCUCAGUUAUACAUGAAUUCAAAUCAAUCUCAUAUCUGACAUUGGCGACCUGUGUAUCUUUUUCUUUUUCCAUAAGCACAUCUUCUGUUGCAGUCUGUUGAACACAGUCAGGAACAGCUGGAUGACAAGGUAAGUUAAUAUCAAGUGCCCUACUUUUCCUCUUAUUUUUGACUUCUGCAGAUGGCUGAGGAAGUGACACAGAAGGGGAGGGAAAAGAAGAAGACUCGAUCUUUGAAACAUGUGGCUUUUCAAAGAUGGGAAAGCCAAGAAUUCUUCUGCGGCUUGAGGAGUCACUUGUUUCAAUCCUACUGGCUCCAACGACAUUGGAACAAGAAGCUGAUUUCACAUUGUGAACAACUGUUUGAUUAGGAACCUUUCCAGCUUCACUCUUAUCAGAC
RNAcentral lists this unclassified non-coding RNA (1442 nucleotides) under Hevea brasiliensis (rubber tree). Lineage: Eukaryota; Viridiplantae; Streptophyta; Magnoliopsida; Malpighiales; Euphorbiaceae. The record is from RNAcentral.